UGAAUCAUUUUGCUUUUUGCAGUACCAUGAUUGAUGCCUUUCCUAAAUUUGAACUACUCAAAUUUUAAAAUCCCUUGUUUAUCAAACUUUUGCAGUUACUAGGAUGACUUGUUAUUUCACCGAUCAUUUUCGGUAUUUUAUUUGUAGUACGUUUACCGUGCUUCAAAGUUGUAGUAUGUAGAUUCUCAAGUGUUUCUUUGAGUCCAAAGAAGCUCUUAUCUAACCCAGAAAUAAAGCUGAAGAAGUGUCUUGGCACCUUAGAAUUCUUCUUAAAUCAUAAAAUUCAGGAAGUGGAAAUGAUUUGUUAGCACUAAAUCAAUUAACUAACUGUAUCCCUGUCAAAGGAAGCCCGGCAUGAAGCUGAAGAGCAACAUCACUAACAGUCUGCAGCAGAAUAAACAGGCAAGAAAAGUAUCAGAUUUGACAGGAGUUCAUUGGUCCUCUCUCUUUUCUCUUAAUCAAUAUAUAUUCAAUGAUAGCAUAUAUAAUUCAGAAAAAUAAAUUACAAAAGCAAUUUAAGCAUA
Molecule: small RNA, 524 nt
Filed under: Vigna angularis var. angularis
Lineage: Eukaryota; Viridiplantae; Streptophyta; Magnoliopsida; Fabales; Fabaceae
Description: Non-protein coding transcript
Source: RNAcentral